This 406-nucleotide long non-coding RNA is filed under the name Elaeis guineensis (African oil palm). RNAcentral describes it as "long non-coding RNA (EGUI_LNC020672)". Lineage: Eukaryota; Viridiplantae; Streptophyta; Magnoliopsida; Arecales; Arecaceae. The record is from RNAcentral.
CAUCGCUCAACUAUGACUGUAUUGAGGAUCCAAUCAAGCUGUAUGUUAUAUACUGUAAAUACUCUAUAAAAAUCAAUCAUAUGAAGAUACUCCAUGAUUCUCUCAUGUAGCUGUCAGGCACGUAUCCCAAUAGACCCUCUGUAUCUGCAGCAUUGGAGCCCCGUGUCUUUUUCAGAAUAUACACAAUCACUAUGGUGUCGGAUCUGAAGAUACAAUACAGUAGUAGGAUCUGUCGGCCCCAGUCAUGUCAUAUCUACUGUUAUUAUAACAAAAUAAAAAGACGAGCUUACGAUCAAGAAAAAUCAAAGAUGAUAAGAAAUAACAAAGAUAAUAACUUUAACAUAAAUGACAAUAAUAAUAAUAAUAAGAUAAUUUUAUAAAUUUUUUUAAGUGGUUAUAUGACAUG